RNAcentral lists this long non-coding RNA (2989 nucleotides) under Elaeis guineensis (African oil palm). RNAcentral describes it as "long non-coding RNA (EGUI_LNC014562)". Lineage: Eukaryota; Viridiplantae; Streptophyta; Magnoliopsida; Arecales; Arecaceae. The record is from RNAcentral.
AGCUCUCGCAUCACUGGUUCCUUGCCGCCCCCAAUUGACUGAGGAUGAGCCAGAUGUUGGAUGCCAACUGGCGAUCGAAGCCGCUGGCUUAAGAAGAAGAAGAAAACAACAGGGAUUUAUUCAUGGUCUACGAAUUAAGAGACACCAUGGUGGCUGUGAAAUGAAGCCAAUUGUCGGUCAAGCAGUGAUGUUGAGGAAGAAGGUGGAUGCAUGACCUGUAGUUGCUUAGAGUCGCAUGGGGACCCAAAAAGUAAUUAAUUUAGUAUUUGACCGGCCAGGAUAAAGAGCAUUAGCUGCAAUCUCUCUCUCUCUCUUCUUUUGUGCAUAUUGUGGAAUAUCCAUAGCAAUUUAAUUAGCUUUGAUGCUUCGUCAACGCCGCCAAAUUGAGGGGCGGUUGGGAUUAUGGGCAUUGUUUUGGGUUUGAUUUUGCUAAUCCUACGAGGAGACGAAUAAUGCUAACUACCGCUUAGCCGACCAAUAGAACAAGUGGGGAGACUGAGAGUGGCCACUCCUCCCUCCCUGCUGAGUUAGGAAAAGUAGAACGUAAAAAUUAGUUUUUUCUUAAACAAAGCACUAGAAGACGAGCUCCUGCAAGAAAGCAUGUUUGCUGCUUGUUGCGACUUGCGAGGGAGAUGGGAAUGUGUGUGGCAAAGAGGGGAUGAGGGGGUAAGUGGGAUUAUCUAUCAGCUAGUUUUUGUGUCUUGAGAAGGGUUGUAGGCUGGUGAGGACCGAUGAGAGAGACUGGUGGCCUUUUUUUCUUUUUUUUAAGAUCUAAUGCGUUUGCUUCGGAAUUGGUGGUGGAUUGACCAUUACACUUUCCAGCUGAAGAGCUUGAUAUUAUUGGAAGUUAAUUUGGAAGAACAAAUAAUAUUUUUAUUGUGCGUAGGAGGCCGACCACAUCACCUUGUUUGUCACUGCCUUUCUCUUUCUUUAUCAUUGAUUUCCUUGUUUUGCACUUUCCCCAUUAUUUGUGACUUAUAUAUAUAUAUAUAUAUUUCACUUAUUUCUUCCAUAUAUGGGAAGUCGGUGUUGCAAAAGUAUUUAUCAUCUAUAACAUCUCCAGGAUAAAUGUUUAGUUUGAUCAAAUCCACCACCAAGCUGGUGGGCAUUAUGUCCAACUAGAAAGCAACAUAGGCAAAUACGCUUUGGCACCCUUUCUCCUCCUCUUUCUUCUUUAUCCGUGUUUGUGCAUCUUAUUUCUUAGAUGGACUGGUCCACUGCUAAGCUGAUGGAUCUGAGCCAAUCAAUAAUUUCUCCUCUUUCCAGAGGCUUUAUGACUAAUUUCCAUGUGAGACAUAGCCCACAAGAAGCCUCUCCAACUUGUGGAUUGUCCCAUGACCUUAAGCAAAGGAGUUGAAGGACCCCUAUAUUUCACAAAGAGAAUGCUCUCUUUGAAAGUGAUCACAAGAAUUUAUCCAUAUAGAUAUUGUCUCGUGUUUUAUAUGUGUUAUCAUGUAUACUUAUGACAUGCUUAUCAUAUAAACUACCCUUUCACAUUCAAUAUCUACUUGGCUUAUGUGUGGUUUUCAUUUCUAAUAUUCCAAUGCAUUCAUCUAUAUUUUUGUUCUUUCCAAAAUAAAAUAUAAUUGUGGUAUGACAUUUUUUGAUGCAUUGAAAAAUGCUUUGUUCUCAUACAAAGACCCUGUUAGACAUGCGCUUUCCUUUUUAGAUAUUAACAGACAGGCUACAGUCUUAGAGCAUGGCUCUUUGCAAAAUGUCUUGGAAGGGAAUAGAUUAUGUUGGCUUACAUAUUUAGAUCCAUGUAUCCGUGAAAUGUUCAGUGUUUUACUCAAGUGUCAACUAGAAUUUACCACAUGCAAUGCACGUAGAUGGAUAUGUACGAGCUCCUGAGCAGAGCUUCUUGCACCACUUGGGAGUAAAUACUGGGUGUGAACCUACUGUUUUGGAUGUCACUAAUCCACAUUUAAUGGGUAAUUAGUUGUGAUAGGACAGUCUAGACCUAAUACAAGUAUUUCAGACCAAAUUAGCUUCAUGUGAGAAAGAUCAAUUUCUUUGGGUGUCAUGUGUUUUACAUGCAAUCGAUGAAUUAAUUAGUUAUUGUUUUAUAAGUUACAGGGGAGAAAUAUUUUCAUAGAAUGAAAAGGCAUGUACAUGAGAGCAAUUACAAGUGCCUAGAAAAAAAAAACAUAUCUUAAUUGGUUUAACAUGCUCGAUGCAGUCCAUUGGUAUUUUACUAGAGGCUUUGAUCAAUAUCUUUUAGAGAUAAAAUGGAACAUGAAUGGAUGUUAAAUUAAAAUCUUCAAAGGAACUGCUAUAGAGUAAGAACAAAAUUAUUUUUCAACAAAAAAGAAGGCUGGUUGGAUCUAGAAGGUUGGAUGGCUUCACCUACAAGGAAAUAUUUGAUGUUGUUGGACUCUAGUAAAGAGAUAACCUAAUAGAAACAUCUGCCUGUAUUAUCUAUUGUAAAAGGGAUGAUAGUGUAGAAGGGACAAAGGUUAAGGCAUAGGAAAGCAACACAGAUGGAGUGUAAUUCACUUUGAGAAUGAGCAAUGGAACUCAAGUUUUUCAUAGAGAUGAAUAUUAUAUAAAAAGGACUUGGUAGAGAAGGAUUUGUCUGGAAAGAGUUAAUUCAAAUAAUCUAUGUAUAGGAAUGUUCUUAAAGGUAAAGAUUAUUUGAAAGCUGAUCCAAUGAGGGAGAAGAAAGCUAUUCCUUUGGUCUACUCGAGAUAGAUCUCUCAUAGAAAAUAAUAAAAAAUUAAAAAAAUUAAAAACAGAGCUUCUAGCCUUUUUAAUUUCAUUAGUUAACGUUACAUUCAAAAAAAAGAUUUGUUUGUUAAUAAUAAAUUCAUGUAUAAAACUUUUAUUUACACUAGUGAGGUCUACCUCCUAAAUUAUAUUCCUUUUCUAGUCAAAGAAGGAAAACGUUUCUACAAUCAUAAAGAAAAUAGAUUGGAGUGAAACUUGUCCAGAAGUUGGAUCUCAACUCUGUCAAUCAACUUUACCUACACGUUAUCUAAUUUAUCUCUGA